AGCAGUAGGGAAUCUUCCACAAUGGACGCAAGUCUGAUGGAGCAACGCCGCGUGAGUGAUGAAGGCUUUCGGGUCGUAAAACUCUGUUGUUGGAGAAGAACGUGUGUGAGAGUAACUGCUCAUGCAGUGACGGUAUCCAACCAGAAAGCCACGGCUAACUACGUGCCAGCAGCCGCGGUAAUACGUAGGUGGCAAGCGUUAUCCGGAUUUAUUGGGCGUAAAGCGAGCGCAGGCGGUCUUUUAAGUCUAAUGUGAAAGCCUUCGGCUUAACCGAAGAAGUGCAUUGGAAACUGGGAGACUUGAGUGCAGAAGAGGAGAGUGGAACUCCAUGUGUAGCGGUGAAAUA
RNAcentral lists this ribosomal RNA (346 nucleotides) under uncultured Pediococcus sp. Its description in RNAcentral is "bacterial SSU rRNA". It matches the Rfam family "Bacterial small subunit ribosomal RNA", at positions 350 to 688 of the family's 1533-position model. Lineage: Bacteria; Bacillati; Bacillota; Bacilli; Lactobacillales; Lactobacillaceae. The record is from RNAcentral.